GCGGCAGGCCUAACACAUGCAAGUCGAGCGGCAGCGGGUAGAAAGCUUGCUUUCUAUGCCGGCGAGCGGCGGACGGGUGAGGAAUACCUAGGAAUCUGUCCAUUAGUGGGGAAUAACUAUCCGAAAGGAUAGCUAACACCGCAUACGCCCUACGGGGGAAAGGGGGGGAUAUUCGGACCUCUCGCUAAUGGGUGAGCCUAGGGCGGAUUAGCUAGUUGGUGGGGUAAAGGCCUACCAAGGCGACGAUCCGUAGUUGGUCUGAGAGGAUGACCAGCCACACCGGGACUGGGACACGGCCCAGACUCCUACGGGAGGCAGCAGUGGGGAAUAUUGCACAAUGGGCGCAAGCCUGAUGCAGCGACGCCGCGUGAGGGAUGACGGCCUUCGGGUUGUAAACCUCUUUCAGCUAUGACGAAGCGCAAGUGACGGUAGUAGCAGAAGAAGGACCGGCCAACUACGUGCCAGCAGCCGCAGUAA
This 477-nucleotide ribosomal RNA is filed under the name uncultured bacterium. RNAcentral describes it as "partial 16S ribosomal RNA". It matches the Rfam family "Bacterial small subunit ribosomal RNA", at positions 39 to 523 of the family's 1533-position model. The record is from RNAcentral.